RNAcentral lists this ribosomal RNA (492 nucleotides) under uncultured bacterium. RNAcentral's name for it is "partial 16S ribosomal RNA". It matches the Rfam family "Bacterial small subunit ribosomal RNA", at positions 29 to 507 of the family's 1533-position model. The record is from RNAcentral.
AGUGAACGCUGGCGGUAGGCCUAACACAUGCAAGUCGAACGGCAGCACAGUAAGAGCUUGCUCUUACGGGUGGCGAGUGGCGGACGGGUGAGGAAUACAUCGGAAUCUACUUUUUCGUGGGGGAUAACGUAGGGAAACUUACGCUAAUACCGCAUACGACCUACGGGGGAAAGCAGUGGAUCUUCGGACCUUGCGCGAUUGAAUGAGCCGAUGUCGGAUUAGCUAGUUGGCGGGGUAAAGGCCCACCAAGGCGCCGAUCCGUAGCUGGUCUGAGCGGAUGAUCAGCCACACUGGAACUGAGACACGGUCCAGACUCCUACGGGAGGCAGCAGUGGGGAAUAUUGGACAAUGGGCGCAAGCCUGAUCCAGCCAUACCGCGUGGGUGAAGAAGGCCUUCGGGUUGUAAAGCCCUUUUGUUGGGAAAGAAAAGCAGCAGGUUAAUACCCCGCUGUUCUGACGGUACCCAAAGAAUAAGCACCGGCUAACUUCGUG